This 253-nucleotide ribosomal RNA is filed under the name uncultured bacterium. Its description in RNAcentral is "partial 16S ribosomal RNA". It matches the Rfam family "Bacterial small subunit ribosomal RNA", at positions 524 to 776 of the family's 1533-position model. The record is from RNAcentral.
UACGUAGGGUGCGAGCGUUGUCCGGAAUUAUUGGGCGUAAAGAGCUUGUAGGCGGUCUGUCGCGUCUGCUGUGAAAAUCCGGGGCUCAACCCCUGACUUGCAGUGGGUACGGGCAGACUAGAGUGUGGUAGGGGAGACUGGAAUUCCUGGUGUAGCGGUGAAAUGCGCAGAUAUCAGGAGGAACACCGAUGGCGAAGGCAGGUCUCUGGGCCACUACUGACGCUGAGAAGCGAAAGCAUGGGGAGCAAACGGG